Non-coding RNA from Podarcis lilfordi (Lilford's wall lizard), 71 nucleotides. The record is from the annotation of a GenBank genome assembly. NCBI's taxonomy places the organism in Eukaryota, Metazoa, Chordata, Lepidosauria, Squamata, Lacertidae.
GGCUAUAAUUCAGUGGUAGAACAUCUGUUUUACAUGCAGAAGGGUUUCAGGUUCAACUCCUGGCAUCUCCU